AAUUUUCACAAACAUAUUACAACAUACAGUCAUAGAAUACAGGUGGGAAUUAGUUACAGAAGUAGAUCAGUCCUCUCCACUGCAAGCAUUACUAUUCCCCUUGGGUUCCCAAUUUGAGUUUGCAAUAAGAGGUACAAGUCUACAGGUAUCAUUGGACGUGUUCAAGCAUGCUGUUUAUGCUUGGUGUGUCACUUAGGUGUGUAACUGCUCUUGUUCACUGAACCUCCAUGUGUACUGCUAAAAUCGCAGUCCCGGGCAUGGGAUCAUUUUCCAUUUCCCUGCCAUGUGACCA
Molecule: non-coding RNA, 292 nt
Organism: Pelobates cultripes (western spadefoot toad)
Lineage: Eukaryota; Metazoa; Chordata; Amphibia; Anura; Pelobatidae
Source: the annotation of a GenBank genome assembly